RNAcentral lists this long non-coding RNA (1317 nucleotides) under Piliocolobus tephrosceles (Ugandan red Colobus). RNAcentral describes it as "lncRNA (ENSPTEG00000001599.1)". Lineage: Eukaryota; Metazoa; Chordata; Mammalia; Primates; Cercopithecidae. The record is from RNAcentral.
GUCCUGAACAAAUAUAUAAUUGUAAAAAUUAUAUAAAAAAUAAAUAUAAAAUAAAUUUCCCUAUUUUGUUCUUAUCUAGUUAUAGUGGAAAGUUAAAUAUACACAAAUUAAGAAGAGAGAAUUUAAAAGAUGUAUCACCUAAUUGUAAUAUAUACAACAAUAUAGACAAUGUAAAUUCUAUUAAUAAAAAAAGUUAUAAUGAAGAAAAUACAACUAAAAGUUUAGACAAUAGUGAAACGUGUAAUGUUAGUCACAAUAUGAACUACAAUGAAAAUAUAGAUAGUAAUAGAAAAAUGAAACCAAUAUGUUGUUUUUUUCAAAUUGGAAAAAAUGAUUAUUUUACUUUUACAAAUAACUAUUUUCAUAUAUUUAAUAUAGCCACGGAUAAAUAUAAUUAUAUUGACUUUUCUCAUGUUCGUAAUAUAAAAUUAAAACAUAGUAUAACAAAUUCAAUUAAUGACUGUUGUUCAUUUUCAUCUAAAUGUUUAUAUAGUAAUAAAAAUUGUAUACAAACACAAACAGUAGAUUGUCAUAAUCUUUUAUAUUUUAAAACUCACAAGUUUAAUCAACAACUUUCGUUUAAUGAUGAUUUUGUUUCAAAGACAUUCAUAACAUAUCCCUAUAUAUACAAAAUAUGUAUUUCNNNNNNNNNNCCGUAUAUUAACUUAAACAAUAUAACAAUAAAAAACUCGAACGAUUUAAGUCCUGAACAAAUAUAUAAUUGUAAAAAUUAUAUAAAAAAUAAAUAUAAAAUAAAUUUCCCUAUUUUGUUCUUAUCUAGUUAUAGUGGAAAGUUAAAUAUACACAAAUUAAGAAGAGAGAAUUUAAAAGAUGUAUCACCUAAUUGUAAUAUAUACAACAAUAUAGACAAUGUAAAUUCUAUUAAUAAAAAAAGUUAUAAUGAAGAAAAUACAACUAAAAGUUUAGACAAUAGUGAAACGUGUAAUGUUAGUCACAAUAUGAACUACAAUGAAAAUAUAGAUAGUAAUAGAAAAAUGAAACCAAUAUGUUGUUUUUUUCAAAUUGGAAAAAAUGAUUAUUUUACUUUUACAAAUAACUAUUUUCAUAUAUUUAAUAUAGCCACGGAUAAAUAUAAUUAUAUUGACUUUUCUCAUGUUCGUAAUAUAAAAUUAAAACAUAGUAUAACAAAUUCAAUUAAUGACUGUUGUUCAUUUUCAUCUAAAUGUUUAUAUAGUAAUAAAAAUUGUAUACAAACACAAACAGUAGAUUGUCAUAAUCUUUUAUAUUUUAAAACUCACAAGUUUAAUCAACAACUUUCGUUUAAUGAUGAUUUUGUUUCAAAGACAUUCAUAACAU